This 996-nucleotide long non-coding RNA is filed under the name Chinchilla lanigera (long-tailed chinchilla). RNAcentral's name for it is "lncRNA (ENSCLAG00000024921.1)". The record is from RNAcentral. Lineage: Eukaryota; Metazoa; Chordata; Mammalia; Rodentia; Chinchillidae.
CUCGGCUCCCGAGGUCUGGGGCCGGGCCCGGCCGGGCGGCGCUUCCCGGACCUGCAGCCGCGACGCGCAGCCGCCGGGACAGGCGUUCCGAGGCUUCAGGAGAGACCCGGGCAGGGCUCGCCGGGUGCAGCCAGACCUCUUGCCGAGGAGGAGCAGCGUCUGGUUUCCGUUCCUGGUGUUUCCGGAGAAUGUUUCCGCGCCCGACCCGCAGGAGUUAGUUCAUCCGUCCUCCACUUGGAGAGGAGGCGCAGCUGGGGAGCAGGGCGGGGAGCCGGAGCUUUGAGGGGCCGGGCUCCUGCUGUCUCCCUGGAGGGAGGGAGAGGACGGUGGUGGCGCCUCUGUCCCUGGCGUUGAGUCCCAGCCAAGAACCUCCUCCCCCGCAGGACCAGCAGGUGGCUUCCGACCAAGGGCGCUGCCUGGCCACCUGCGGGGUGGAGCGAUUCUGAGCUGCCCCUGGGCAGGACAGGUCUGGGGGCCGAAGUGGUCCCGGGCCGCAGCUCCUCAGAGGGCGAAGGGCCGGCCAAGCUCAAGCCCCGGUGCUGGGCAGUGGAGACUGGAAGCGAUCCCGACCUGUCUGAGGUUCCCAGGCUCAGGACAGCUGCCUGUGACAUUUGUGCCGAACCUGACAGUUUGCUACUCCCCACCCCGCCCGCUCCUGUGCCCCCACCUGGGCACCCGCCGGCCUCUUCUGGGGUGGCGUCUCAGCGGUGGAACUGCACGGGGCAUUCUCCUCUGUGGCUUCACUUGUGGGAAAAAGAGGUCCAGAAGUCUGGUUGACGGCCGUGGCAGAGAAACGAGUCUGAGCAAACUCAGACUCCUCGGCAAACCGAGUAACUCGCCCCGCCUAGGCUGUCCCUUUCUGACCUCUUGCUUCCACACAGCCCCCCGCCAAAAAGUACUGCCUCUAAACCAUGCCCCUAGCCCGCCUCCAUUGCCACGCCUCUAGCCUGCUCUAUAAAAUGCCUGGUACUUACGCAAUAAACUAGAUCUGCGCCA